RNAcentral lists this transfer RNA (89 nucleotides) under Candidatus Staskawiczbacteria bacterium. Its description in RNAcentral is "tRNA-Ser". It matches the Rfam family "tRNA". Rfam says of the family: Transfer RNA (tRNA) molecules are approximately 80 nucleotides in length. Their secondary structure includes four short double-helical elements and three loops (D, anti-codon, and T loops). The record is from RNAcentral. Lineage: Bacteria; Candidatus Staskawicziibacteriota.
GGAGGAGUCGGAUAAUGGUUAUUCCAAGAGUUUGCUAAACUCUGACCCCUUACGGGGUCUUGUGGGUUCGAGUCCCACCUCCUCCGCCA